GCCAUCCUUGGGAUACCACCCUUGUAGUACUGGGACUCUAACCAUAGGCCAUGAAUCUGGUCUUGGGACACUGUCAGGUGGGCAGUUUGACUGGGGCGGUCGCCUCCCAAAAGGUAACGGAGGCGCUCAAAGGUUCUCUCAGUACGGUCGGAAAUCGUACGUAGAGUGUAAAGGCAAAAGAGAGCUUGAUUGCAAGACAUACAGGUCGAGCAAGGAUGAAAAUCGGACUUAGUGAUCCGGUGGUUCUGCGUGGAAGGGCCAUCGCGCAACGGAUAAAAGCUACCCUGGGGAUAACAGGCUUAUCUCCCCCAAGAGUCCACAUCGACGGGGCGGUUUGGCACCUCGAUGUCGGCUCAUCACAUC
RNAcentral lists this ribosomal RNA (363 nucleotides) under Clostridioides difficile. Its description in RNAcentral is "bacterial LSU rRNA". It matches the Rfam family "Bacterial large subunit ribosomal RNA", at positions 2185 to 2546 of the family's 2925-position model. The record is from RNAcentral. Lineage: Bacteria; Bacillati; Bacillota; Clostridia; Peptostreptococcales; Peptostreptococcaceae.